AUGGGUGGAACGAGAGGAAGGAUGGGAAUCAGCUACUUGCAUUCACACGGAGGAGGCAACGUCGACUCGAUGGCACAUCAGAGGAGGUUGGGCUCGUUGUGGAUCUUCUUGAGGCAGCAGGACGUCGGCAAGAGCAUCGCUGCUGGCAACGGCUCGAGUGACCUCUUGAGGAUCUUCUCCAUGAGCAUCUGGGACGACACCAACUCCAACAUCAUGUUCUCAGCGCCCGAUAGCAAGAAGGCCGAGGUGCUCAGUGACAGUGAUGUCAGUAUGGUCACCAGCUUCAGCAACAUCGACUCCCAGAUUCAGUUAGCCCUCUCGAGUUGGACAUGCCCAGGAUGGACGACUACCUGCAGCUGCAGCAGGACUCCGUCAACUACAGAGUCCAUGCCAAGCGUGGCUGCACCACUGACCCGCAGAGCAUCGCUUGGGAGGGAAAGAAGAACAAGGAUCAAUAAGAGGCUAAGGAGGCUACAAAGACCUCAUUCCCUACAUGGACAAGGUCACAAGUUUAUUCUACCAUGGAUUCCCUCUGGAUAUUCUGUGCCCCAAGCCCUACAGAAUAAUGCCCAGUCUAAUUUCAACAGUGGGCACGACAACAUCAAACUUCUCUCUUCAAUAUUGAAGAAGCGGCUUACUCGGAUCAAUGGGCAUGCACUUAGAAAAAUAGCUAAAGAGUACGUGAUAUUCCUAGAGUAA
RNAcentral lists this ribosomal RNA (699 nucleotides) under Triticum aestivum (bread wheat). RNAcentral describes it as "partial small subunit ribosomal RNA". The record is from RNAcentral. Lineage: Eukaryota; Viridiplantae; Streptophyta; Magnoliopsida; Poales; Poaceae.